AUACGGAGGGACCAAGCGUUGUUCGGAAUCACUGGGCGUAAAGCGCGUGUAGGCGGUCUGGAUAGUCGGGUGUGAAAGCCCGGGGCUCAACCCCGGAACUGCAUUCGAAACUUCCAGACUGGAGUCCCGGAGAGGAUGGCGGAAUUCCCGGUGUAGAGGUGAAAUUCGUAGAUAUCGGGAGGAACACCAGUGGCGAAGGCGGCCAUCUGGACGGUGACUGACGCUGAGACGCGAAAGCGUGGGGAGCAAACAGGAUUAGAUACCCGAGUAGUCC
RNAcentral lists this ribosomal RNA (274 nucleotides) under uncultured bacterium. RNAcentral's name for it is "partial 16S ribosomal RNA". It matches the Rfam family "Bacterial small subunit ribosomal RNA", at positions 523 to 796 of the family's 1533-position model. The record is from RNAcentral.